GACCCAGUGGCAGCGGCGGUACUUCUACCUGUUCCCCAACCGCCUCGAGUGGCGGGGCGAGGGCGAGGCCCCGCAGAGCCUGCUGACCAUGGAGGAGAUCCAGUCGGUGGAGGAGACGCAGAUCAAGGAGCGCAAGUGCCUGCUCCUCAAGAUCCGCGGUGGGAAACAGUUCAUUUUGCAGUGCGAUAGCGACCCUGAGCUGGUGCAGUGGAAGAAGGAGCUGCGCGACGCCUACCGCGAGGCCCAGCAGCUGGUGCAGCGGGUGCCCAAGAUGAAGAACAAGCCGCGCUCGCCCGUGGUGGAGCUGAGCAAGGUGCCGCUGGUCCAGCGCGGCAGUGCCAACGGCCUCUGACCCGCCCACCCGCCUUUUAUAAACCUCUAAUUUAUUUUGUCGAAUUUUUAUUAUUUGUUUUCCCGCCAAGCGGAAAAGGUUUUAUUUUGUAAUUAUUGUGAUUUCCCGUGGCCCCAGCCUGGCCCAGCUCCCCCGGGAGGGGCCCGCUUGCCUCGGCUCCUGCUGCACCAACCCAGCCGCUGCCCGGCGCCCUCUGUCCUGACUUCAGGGGCUGCCCGCUCCCAGUGUCUUCCUGUGGGGGAAGAGCACAGCCCUCCCGCCCCUUCCCCGAGGGAUGAUGCCACACCAAGCUGUGCCACCCUGGGCUCUGUGGGCUGCACUCUGUGCCCAUGGGCACUGCUGGGUGGCCCAUCCCCCCUCACCAGGGGCAGGCACAGCACAGGGAUCCGACUUGAAUUUUCCCACUGCACCCCCUCCUGCUGCAGAGGGGCAGGCCCUGCACUGUCCUGCUCCACAGUGUUGGCGAGAGGAGGGGCCCGUUGUCUCCCUGGCCCUCAAGGCCUCCCACAGUGACUCGGGCUCCUGUGCCCUUAUUCAGGAAAAGCCUCUGUGUCACUGGCUGCCUCCACUCCCACUUCCCUGACACUGCGGGGCUUGGCUGAGAGAGUGGCAUUGGCAGCAGGUGCUGCUACCCUCCCUGCUGUCCCCUCUUGCCCCAACCCCCAGCACCCGGGCUCAGGGACCACAGCAAGGCACCUGCAGGUUGGGCCAUACUGGCCUCGCCUGGCCUGAGGUCUCGCUGAUGCUGGGCUGGGUGCGACCCCAUCUGCCCAGGACGGGGCCGGCCAGGUGGGCGGGCAGCACAGCAAGGAGGCUGGCUGGGGCCUAUCAGUGUGCCCCCCAUCCUGGCCCAUCAGUGUACCCCCGCCCAGGCUGGCCAGCCCCACAGCCCACGUCCUGUCAGUGCCGCCGCCUCGCCCACCGCAUGCCCCCUCGUGCCAGUCGCGCUGCCUGUGUGGUGUCGCGCCUUCUCCCCCCCGGGGCUGGGUUGGCGCACCCUCCCCUCCCGUCUACUCAUUCCCCGGGGCGUUUCUUUGCCGAUUUUUGAAUGUGAUUUUAAAGAGUGAAAAAUGAGACUAUGCGUUUUUAUAAAAAAUGGUGCC
RNAcentral lists this long non-coding RNA (1455 nucleotides) under Homo sapiens (human). Its description in RNAcentral is "long non-coding RNA NONHSAT159295.1". The record is from RNAcentral. Lineage: Eukaryota; Metazoa; Chordata; Mammalia; Primates; Hominidae.